RNAcentral lists this ribosomal RNA (1372 nucleotides) under uncultured bacterium. RNAcentral's name for it is "16S ribosomal RNA". It matches the Rfam family "Bacterial small subunit ribosomal RNA", at positions 28 to 1381 of the family's 1533-position model. The record is from RNAcentral.
GAUGAACGCUGGCGGCGUGCCUAAUACAUGCAAGUCGAGCGAACGGACGAGAAGCUUGCUUCUCUGAUGUUAGCGGCGGACGGGUGAGUAACACGUGGAUAACCUACCUAUAAGACUGGGAUAACUUCGGGAAACCGGAGCUAAUACCGGAUAAUAUUUUGAACCGCAUGGUUCAAAAGUGAAAGACGGUCUUGCUGUCACUUAUAGAUGGAUCCGCGCUGCAUUAGCUAGUUGGUAAGGUAACGGCUUACCAAGGCAACGAUGCAUAGCCGACCUGAGAGGGUGAUCGGCCACACUGGAACUGAGACACGGUCCAGACUCCUACGGGAGGCAGCAGUAGGGAAUCUUCCGCAAUGGGCGAAAGCCUGACGGAGCAACGCCGCGUGAGUGAUGAAGGUCUUCGGAUCGUAAAACUCUGUUAUUAGGGAAGAACAUAUGUGUAAGUAACUGUGCACAUCUUGACGGUACCUAAUCAGAAAGCCACGGCUAACUACGUGCCAGCAGCCGCGGUAAUACGUAGGUGGCAAGCGUUAUCCGGAAUUAUUGGGCGUAAAGCGCGCGUAGGCGGUUUUUUAAGUCUGAUGUGAAAGCCCACGGCUCAACCGUGGAGGGUCAUUGGAAACUGGAAAACUUGAGUGCAGAAGAGGAAAGUGGAAUUCCAUGUGUAGCGGUGAAAUGCGCAGAGAUAUGGAGGAACACCAGUGGCGAAGGCGACUUUCUGGUCUGUAACUGACGCUGAUGUGCGAAAGCGUGGGGAUCAAACAGGAUUAGAUACCCUGGUAGUCCACGCCGUAAACGAUGAGUGCUAAGUGUUAGGGGGUUUCCGCCCCUUAGUGCUGCAGCUAACGCAUUAAGCACUCCGCCUGGGGAGUACGACCGCAAGGUUGAAACUCAAAGGAAUUGACGGGGACCCGCACAAGCGGUGGAGCAUGUGGUUUAAUUCGAAGCAACGCGAAGAACCUUACCAAAUCUUGACAUCCUUUGACAACUCUAGAGAUAGAGCCUUCCCCUUCGGGGGACAAAGUGACAGGUGGUGCAUGGUUGUCGUCAGCUCGUGUCGUGAGAUGUUGGGUCAAGUCCCGCAACGAGCGCAACCCUUAAGCUUAGUUGCCAUCAUUAAGUUGGGCACUCUAAGUUGACUGCCGGUGACAAACCGGAGGAAGGUGGGAAUGACGUCAAAUCAUCAUGCCCCUUAUGAUUUGGGCUACACACGUGCUACAAUGGACAAUACAAAGGGCAGCGAAACCGCGAGGUCAAGCAAAUCCCAUAAAGUCGUUCUCAGUUCGGAUUGUAGUCUGCAACUCGACUACAUGAAGCUGGAAUCGCUAGUAAUCGUAGAUCAGCAUGCUACGGUGAAUACGUUCCCGGGUCU